UACAGGUUCACUCCAAUUGGCAGGAUACAAAUGCAAGAAGAAAGAAAAUGUAGCCACGUAACAUCCGCGGAGAGAGACAAGGGAGUCCCAAACUCGUUGGGGACAAUCUUUGCAUCUCUCCCUCUCUCUGUCUCUCUCUUGCUUGGCCAACCUAACGAGGGAAUUCGAUUCGUUUGGAGGAUAACGAUGGCUGCACCACCAGCAAGGGCUCGUGCUGAUUACGAUUACUUGAUUAAGCUUCUCUUGAUUGGGGAUAGCGGUGUCGGGAAGAGUUGUCUGCUACUGCGUUUCUCUGAUGGUUCCUUUACAACCAGUUUCAUUACCACUAUUGGCAUUGACUUUAAAAUAAGAACAGUCGAGCUUGAUGGAAAACGAAUCAAAUUGCAAAUCUGGGAUACGGCAGGUCAGGAGCGUUUUCGAACAAUCACAACAGCAUAUUACCGUGGAGCCAUGGGGAUUUUGUUGGUGUAUGAUGUUACUGAUGAAUCAUCUUUCAACAAUAUUAGGAACUGGAUUUGCAAUAUAGAGCAACAUGCUACUGACAAUGUCAACAAAGUACUUGUGGGAAACAAGGCAGAUAUGGAUGAAAGUAAAAGGUUAGGUGUUUCAUUUCAAUCUGUCUCUCCAUGUGUGUGUGUGUGCGCGCACGCGUGUGCGAGCGUGCCAUCCACUGUUGAUGAGGAAGAUAUUCUGUGUCAUUCCUUAGGCUGUGCCUACAUCCAAUGGUAAAGCUCUUGCAGAUGAGUAUGGUAUCAAGUUCUUUGAAACUAGUGCAAAGACAAAUUUGAAUGUGGAUGAGGUUUUCUUUUCAAUUGCAAAGGAUAUCAAGCAAAGGCUUGCAGAAACCGAUUCCAAGGCUGAUCCUCAAACAAUCAAGGUCAACCAACCAGACCAAGCAGCUCAAACGUCAGGUUGCUGUGGCUGAUAAAGGAGAAGGAGAAGGAGAAGGUUAUGCCAAUGGCACCAACUGGGGUAUAAAAUUGAUUCUGAUGACAUUGUGCAGGGCCAGAUAUCUGUGCCCUUAUUAUUUUUCCUAAUUACCAAGCUUAGUGUGUUGAAGGCAGUAUUUAUUUGCUUAAUAUGUGGAAUUUAUUAUGACACUCUUUUGACACUUGCUCUACUUUGGGGCUUGAAUUCAUUUGACUGGCAUUGAUGUAGAUAGAUAAUCAAAAAAUUUAGCUCAUUUCUUCUGAUAUUAUGAUAUUUCUCAUUUUCCUUUUA
RNA transcript from Manihot esculenta (cassava), 1221 nucleotides. It is a transcript of the gene named ras-related protein RABE1a, with no coding region annotated. NCBI's taxonomy places the organism in Eukaryota, Viridiplantae, Streptophyta, Magnoliopsida, Malpighiales, Euphorbiaceae. The transcript has 9 exons. The record is from RefSeq and is a predicted model, not a curated record.